Molecule: ribosomal RNA, 498 nt
Filed under: uncultured bacterium
Lineage: Bacteria
Description: partial 16S ribosomal RNA
Rfam family: Bacterial small subunit ribosomal RNA
Source: RNAcentral
GGAUGAACGCUGGCGGCAUGCCUAAUACAUGCAAGUCGAGCGAACGGACGAGAAGCUUGCUUCUCUGAUGUUAGCGGCGGACGGGUGAGUAACACGUGGAUAACCUACCUAUAAGACUGGGAUAACUUCGGGAAACCGGAGCUAAUACCGGAUAAUAUUUUGAACCGCAUGGUUCAAAAGUGAAAGACGGUCUUGCUGUCACUUAUAGAUGGAUCCGCGCUGCAUUAGCUAGUUGGUAAGGUAACGGCUUACCAAGGCAACGAUGCAUAGCCGACCUGAGAGGGUGAUCGGCCACACUGGAACUGAGACACGGUCCAGACUCCUACGGGAGGCAGCAGUAGGGAAUCUUCCGCAAUGGGCGAAAGCCUGACGGAGCAACGCCGCGUGAGUGAUGAAGGUCUUCGGAUCGUAAAACUCUGUUAUUAGGGAAGAACAUAUGUGUAAGUAACUGUGCACAUCUUGACGGUACCUAAUCAGAAAGCCACGGCUAACUACGUG